Molecule: transfer RNA, 69 nt
Filed under: Zea mays
Lineage: Eukaryota; Viridiplantae; Streptophyta; Magnoliopsida; Poales; Poaceae
Rfam family: tRNA
About the family: Transfer RNA (tRNA) molecules are approximately 80 nucleotides in length. Their secondary structure includes four short double-helical elements and three loops (D, anti-codon, and T loops).
Source: Rfam by way of RNAcentral
GUCUAGUUUAGUUGGUAGAGUGCAAGGUCUUUAACCUUGAGGUUGUGGGUUCAAGCCCCAUGGUGGACG